UGUAAGCGUAUACCAAAGUUGUUGCAGUUAAAACGCUCGUAGUCGGAAUUUGGCAGUUCCGGAUGUGUGCACGUCGUGUGCGCACUUCGCGGGGAUUGCUUUUGUGGUCUUGCGUAGGAUGAGGCACUUUUAUUAGUGAACGUCCUCACGCAACCACUUUUUACUGUGAGAAAAUCAGAGUGCACAAAGCAGGCAUUUGCCGUGAAUGUAUUAGCAUGGAAUAAUAGAAUAGGACUUGGUUCUAUUUUGUUGGUUUGUUGGGACUGAGUAAUGAUUAAGAGGGACAGUUGGGGGCAUUUGUAUUUCGGUGCUAGAGGUGAAAUUCUUAGAUUACCGAAAGACAAACUGCUGCGAAAGCGUCUGCCAAGGAUGUUUUCAUUGA
This 382-nucleotide ribosomal RNA is filed under the name uncultured eukaryote. Its description in RNAcentral is "partial 18S ribosomal RNA". It matches the Rfam family "Eukaryotic small subunit ribosomal RNA", at positions 592 to 976 of the family's 1831-position model. The record is from RNAcentral.